RNAcentral lists this ribosomal RNA (706 nucleotides) under uncultured Pseudomonadota bacterium. RNAcentral's name for it is "bacterial SSU rRNA". It matches the Rfam family "Bacterial small subunit ribosomal RNA", at positions 58 to 753 of the family's 1533-position model. Lineage: Bacteria; Pseudomonadati; Pseudomonadota. The record is from RNAcentral.
CAAGUCGAACGGUAACAGGAAACAGCUUGCUGUUUCGCCGACGAGUGGCGGACGGGUGAGUAAUGUCUGGGAAACUGCCUGAUGGAGGGGGAUAACUACUGGAAACGGUAGCUAAUACCGCAUAACGUCGCAAGACCAAAGAGGGGGACCUUAGGGCCUCUUGCCAUCGGAUGUGCCCAGAUGGGAUUAGCUAGUAGGUGGGGUAAAGGCUCACCUAGGCGACGAUCCCUAGCUGGUCUGAGAGGAUGACCAGCCACACUGGAACUGAGACACGGUCCAGACUCCUACGGGAGGCAGCAGUGGGGAAUAUUGCACAAUGGGCGCAAGCCUGAUGCAGCCAUGCCGCGUGUAUGAAGAAGGCCUUCGGGUUGUAAAGUACUUUCAGCGGGGAGGAAGGGAGUAAAGUUAAUACCUUUGCUCAUUGACGUUACCCGCAGAAGAAGCACCGGCUAACUCCGUGCCAGCAGCCGCGGUAAUACGGAGGGUGCAAGCGUUAAUCGGAAUUACUGGGCGUAAAGCGCACGCAGGCGGUUUGUUAAGUCAGAUGUGAAAUCCCCGGGCUCAACCUGGGAACUGCAUCUGAUACUGGCAAGCUUGAGUCUCGUAGAGGGGGGUAGAAUUCCAGGUGUAGCGGUGAAAUGCGUAGAGAUCUGGAGGAAUACCGGUGGCGAAGGCGGCCCCCUGGACGAAGACUGACGCUCAGGUG